GAAUUAGUUUAAGUUAAAAAUUAAAUGUUUGGGUCGUUUAGAUUAGUUUUCAGUU
This 55-nucleotide transfer RNA is filed under the name Mansonella sp. 'DEUX'. Its description in RNAcentral is "tRNA-Pro". Lineage: Eukaryota; Metazoa; Nematoda; Chromadorea; Rhabditida; Onchocercidae. The record is from RNAcentral.